CGCGUAGGCGGGAGUUUAAGUCCGCUGUGAAAGCCCGGAGCUCAACUCCGGCACGUCGGUGGAGACUGGACUUCUUGAAAGGGCUAGGGGGAGAUGGAAUGACCGGUGUAGCGGUGAAAUGCGUAGAUAUCGGUCGGAACACCAGUGGCGAAGGCGGUCUCCUGGGGCCUGUUUGACGCUGAGGCGCGAAAGCUGGGGGAGCCAACG
This 207-nucleotide ribosomal RNA is filed under the name uncultured bacterium. RNAcentral's name for it is "partial 16S ribosomal RNA". It matches the Rfam family "Bacterial small subunit ribosomal RNA", at positions 568 to 774 of the family's 1533-position model. The record is from RNAcentral.